This 354-nucleotide ribosomal RNA is filed under the name Triticum aestivum (bread wheat). RNAcentral's name for it is "partial small subunit ribosomal RNA". The record is from RNAcentral. Lineage: Eukaryota; Viridiplantae; Streptophyta; Magnoliopsida; Poales; Poaceae.
AUGUUCCCCAUGUUCCAGGAGCUUGCACCACACGACCGACACGACAAGUGUGGUCACCACUAUGCGGUCUGUCUUGACCUGAAGAACCAACGUAUCGAGGUGGUUGAUUCAAUCCGUUCGGAAGCUGAUGCAGACCUUACUACGCAUGCCGAAUUCUUCAUCAAGAACCUCAAAGAGACUUGGAACCGUCACUACGAACAUUCAAAGGUCCAGAUCAGGCAUUUCCCGACUGAGUAUGUGGCGACUGUGAAGCAAGGGAACACGGACUGUGGCUUUCACGCGCUGGAAUACUUUGCAAAGUGGGAAGGCAGAAUUGUCCCCGCUAUCACAGAUGCAACGGUCGUUGAGCUCUGA